RNAcentral lists this ribosomal RNA (468 nucleotides) under uncultured bacterium. Its description in RNAcentral is "partial 16S ribosomal RNA". It matches the Rfam family "Bacterial small subunit ribosomal RNA", at positions 28 to 507 of the family's 1533-position model. The record is from RNAcentral.
GACGAACGCUGGCGGCGUGCUUAACACAUGCAAGUCGAACGGAAAGGUCCUGCUUUUGUGGGGUGCUCGAGUGGCGAACGGGUGAGUAACACGUGAGUAACCUGCCCUUGACUUUGGGAUAACUUCAGGAAACUGGGGCUAAUACCGGAUAGGAGCUCCUGCUGCAUGGUGGGGGUUGGAAAGUUUCGGCGGUUGGGGAUGGACUCGCGGCUUAUCAGCUUGUUGGUGGGGUAGCGGCUUACCAAGGCUUUGACGGGUAGCCGGCCUGAGAGGGUGACCGGCCACAUUGGGACUGAGAUACGGCCCAGACUCCUACGGGAGGCAGCAGUGGGGAAUAUUGCACAAUGGGCGGAAGCCUGAUGCAGCAACGCCGCGUGCGGGAUGACGGCCUUCGGGUUGUAAACCGCUUUCGCCUGUGACGAAGCGUGAGUGACGGUAAUGGGUAAAGAAGCACCGGCUAACUACGUG